Molecule: long non-coding RNA, 840 nt
Filed under: Rhinopithecus bieti (black snub-nosed monkey)
Lineage: Eukaryota; Metazoa; Chordata; Mammalia; Primates; Cercopithecidae
Description: lncRNA (ENSRBIG00000046334.1)
Source: RNAcentral
GAAAGACCAAGUGUGGAUUCCCAGGUACAGAUGCAGCACAAGAGGAACGUGCUCCCCAGCCUUUGGAAGCUGUCCAUCUUUCCUUUCUCCUGUCACCUGGAAAAGCAUUUGGGUUUGAGGAAUAGUGGGGUACUUUGCCAGUUAGGCUGCUGGGACAUCCAUUGAUCUUUGGAGAGCUAUUUCCUUGGCUUCUCUCCAUGACGAUUCCUGACUUGUGGCCCUGGCAGUCUUGGGAAGACAUCAUCCAGCUUCUUCAAUCCAGACCCUGGGCCCCUCCUUUCCCCAGGAUUGCCCCCACCCAGCCUGGACACAUUGACUGAACUGUUUUCUAGGACACUGGACUCUAUAGAAUGAGCAAACUUUUGUGACUACACCACAGGAACCUGCAGUGGGGCAUAAUGUUGUCAAGCAGAGAGACACAGAAGGGGAAAACAGCAUUCAAACCACCGGGCUCCCCAGGCUGUUCUGACUCUCCUCCUUCUCCACUGAUGUUGACAAAAAGUUGGAUUGUGAUAGAAGCAACCAGCAACCCAAAUCUUGGGUCCCUGGGGGUAGGAGAAUCUAGGAUUCAGCCAGUCCAAGGGAACCAGUCUUGCAUUUGGAACACAGUAGCAGGAUUAUUCUGAGGCACAGAGGAGAGAGAGCAGCACUUGGAAGAAACAAAGGUGAAUCCAGACAAGAGGAAGUUGAUUAAGAAGUAAGUGUGCUUGGAGAUUGAGAGGGUGGUCAAGCCUGGGGUGAUUAACUGGUGUGUCUGAAAAGGCACAUUCCAAAUUGCAUAACAUCUCAGCAUCUCUGGACUGUCAGUGGGGAGGACAAGGUGAGUGUGGGGAGCCCAGG